This 71-nucleotide transfer RNA is filed under the name Dopasia gracilis (Burmese glass lizard). Its description in RNAcentral is "tRNA-Thr". It matches the Rfam family "tRNA". Rfam says of the family: Transfer RNA (tRNA) molecules are approximately 80 nucleotides in length. Their secondary structure includes four short double-helical elements and three loops (D, anti-codon, and T loops). Further hydrogen bonds mediate the characteristic L-shaped molecular structure. tRNAs have two regions of fundamental functional importance: the anti-codon, which is responsible for specific mRNA codon recognition, and the 3' end, to which the tRNAs corresponding amino acid is attached (by aminoacyl-tRNA synthetases). tRNAs cope with the degeneracy of the genetic code in two manners: having more than one tRNA (with a specific anti-codon) for a particular amino acid; and 'wobble' base-pairing, i.e. permitting non-standard base-pairing at the 3rd anti-codon position. The record is from RNAcentral. Lineage: Eukaryota; Metazoa; Chordata; Lepidosauria; Squamata; Anguidae.
GUUUUAAUAGCUUAGUUUUCAAAGCAUUGGCCUUGUAAGCCAAAAACGGGGCAUCACAGCCCCUUAAAACA